Molecule: ribosomal RNA, 25 nt
Filed under: Grammothelopsis subtropica
Lineage: Eukaryota; Fungi; Basidiomycota; Agaricomycetes; Polyporales; Polyporaceae
Description: partial 18S ribosomal RNA
Source: RNAcentral
CAGGAGAGCUCUGAGGAGACAUUAU